This 468-nucleotide ribosomal RNA is filed under the name uncultured bacterium. Its description in RNAcentral is "partial 16S ribosomal RNA". It matches the Rfam family "Bacterial small subunit ribosomal RNA", at positions 28 to 507 of the family's 1533-position model. The record is from RNAcentral.
GACGAACGCUGGCGGCGUGCUUAACACAUGCAAGUCGAACGGAAAGGCCCUGCUUUUGUGGGGUGCUCGAGUGGCGAACGGGUGAGUAACACGUGAGUAACCUGCCCUUGACUUUGGGAUAACUUCAGGAAACCGGGGCUAAUACCGGAUAGGAGCUCCUGCUGCAUGGUGGGGGUUGGAAAGUUUCGGCGGUUGGGGAUGGACUCGCGGCUUAUCAGCUUGUUGGUGGGGUAGUGGCUUACCAAGGCUUUGACGGGUAGCCGGCCUGAGAGGGUGACCGGCCACAUUGGGACUGAAAUACGGCCCAGACUCCUACGGGAGGCAGCAGUGGGGAAUAUUGCACAAUGGGCGGAAGCCUGAUGCAGCAACGCCGCGUGCGGGAUGACGGCCUUCGGGUUGUAAACCGCUUUCGCCUGUGACGAAGCGUGAGUGACGGUAAUGGGUAAAGAAGCACCGGCUAACUACGUG